Molecule: ribosomal RNA, 301 nt
Filed under: uncultured bacterium
Lineage: Bacteria
Description: partial 16S ribosomal RNA
Rfam family: Bacterial small subunit ribosomal RNA
Source: RNAcentral
CAGUAGCCUCGGUAAUACGAAGGGUGCAAGCGUUACUCGGAAUUACUGGGCGUAAAGCGUGCGUAGGUGGUGGUUUAAGUCCGUUGUGAAAGCCCUGGGCUCAACCUGGGAAUUGCAGUGGAUACUGGGUCACUAGAGUGUGGUAGAGGAUGGUGGAAUUCCCGGUGUAGCGGUGAAAUGCGUAGAGAUCGGGAGGAACAUCAGUGGCGAAGGCGGCCAUCUGGGACAACACUGACGCUGAGGCACGAAAGCGUGGGGAGCAAACAGGAUUAGAUACCCCGGUAGUCCCUGUCUCUUAUAC